RNAcentral lists this unclassified non-coding RNA (254 nucleotides) under Patescibacteria group bacterium. RNAcentral's name for it is "contains 16S-23S intergenic spacer region". It matches the Rfam family "Bacterial small subunit ribosomal RNA", at positions 524 to 776 of the family's 1533-position model. The record is from RNAcentral.
UACGUAGGGCACAAGCGUUAUCCGGAAUCACUGGGCGUAAAGCGUUCCGUAGGCGGAUUUUUAAGUCAUUAGUGAAAGCCUGCAGCUCAACUGCAGAAUUGCUACUGAUACUGGAAGUCUAGAAUCUCAUAGGGGAGGUUGGAACUGUUGGUGUAGUAGUGAAAUGCGUUGAUAUCAACAGGAACACCGAGGGCGAAGGCAGACCUCUGGAUGAGUAUUGACGCUGAUGGACGACAGCUAGGGUAGCGAAAGGG